UACGUAGGGGGCAAGCGUUGUCCGGAAUCAUUGGGCGUAAAGCGCGCGUAGGCGGCCAGAUAAGUCCGGUGUGAAAGUCACAGGCUCAACCUGUGAAUGCCGCUGGAAACUGUCUGGCUUGAGUCCGGAAGGGGCGAGUGGAAUUCCUGGUGUAGCGGUGAAAUGCGCAGAUAUCAGGAAGAACACCCGUGGCGGAGGCGGCUCUCUGGGACGGUACUGACGCUGAGACGCGAAAGCGUGGGGAGCAAACAGG
RNAcentral lists this ribosomal RNA (253 nucleotides) under uncultured bacterium. Its description in RNAcentral is "partial 16S ribosomal RNA". It matches the Rfam family "Bacterial small subunit ribosomal RNA", at positions 524 to 776 of the family's 1533-position model. The record is from RNAcentral.